CCUACGGGUGGCUGCAGUGGGGAAUAUUGCACAAUGGGGGGAACCCUGAUGCAGCAACGCCGCGUGGGUGAAGAAGUACUCCGGUAUGUAAAGCCCUGUCAGCAGGGAAGAAAAUGACGGUACCUGACCAAGAAGCCCCGGCUAACUACGUGCCAGCAGCCGCGGUAAUACGUAGGGGGCAAGCGUUAUCCGGAUUUACUGGGUGUAAAGGGAGCGUAGACGGCAAGGCAAGUCUGGAGUGAAAGCCCGGGGCCCAACCACGGGACUGCUUUGGAAACUGUGUUGCUAGAGUGCAGGAGAGGUAAGCGGAAUUCCUAGUGUAGCGGUGAAAUGCGUAGAUAUUAGGAGGAACACCAGUGGCGAAGGCGGCUUACUGGACAGUAACUGACGUUGAGGCUCGAAGGCGUGGGGAGCAAACAGGAUUAGAUACCCGGGUAGUC
RNAcentral lists this ribosomal RNA (440 nucleotides) under uncultured bacterium. RNAcentral describes it as "partial 16S ribosomal RNA". It matches the Rfam family "Bacterial small subunit ribosomal RNA", at positions 338 to 795 of the family's 1533-position model. The record is from RNAcentral.